AUGUGAGGGUGAUGAGGCUGUGAUAAUAUCUGUCAUCACUGUCCUCCCCACCCCACACCUCAUUGAUCACCAGCAUUGAUUUGGAUGAUCUGGCUGGCUAGACAGAUAUCUCUACCAUUCCCCACCACUGGAUGUGUGUCUCUCCUGAAAGCUUCGUACUUGGUUAAAGGGCACAGCCCUCUUUGGUAGAAAAUAGCAAGGACAUACUAAUAGCUUCAUUCCUCUUGGUGAACCUGCAAACAAACUCCCAGAGACAAUGGGCUUUUCUUUCCAGUGCCAAAGGCAUGUGACUCCUUCCAUAUAAAUCAUGUUCAAAAGCUACAUGGCUCUGUUU
This 334-nucleotide small nuclear RNA is filed under the name Neotoma lepida (desert woodrat). RNAcentral's name for it is "7SK RNA". It matches the Rfam family "7SK RNA". Rfam says of the family: 7SK was discovered as an abundant small nuclear RNA in the mid-70s but a possible function has only recently been suggested. Two independent studies have found that 7SK RNA binds the CDK9/cyclin T complex (known as elongation factor P-TEFb). P-TEFb activates transcription by phosphorylating the C-terminal domain of RNA polymerase II. The record is from Rfam by way of RNAcentral. Lineage: Eukaryota; Metazoa; Chordata; Mammalia; Rodentia; Cricetidae.